This 733-nucleotide ribosomal RNA is filed under the name uncultured bacterium. RNAcentral's name for it is "bacterial SSU rRNA". It matches the Rfam family "Bacterial small subunit ribosomal RNA", at positions 8 to 714 of the family's 1533-position model. The record is from RNAcentral.
AGAGUUUGAUCAUGGCUCAGAACGAACGCUGGCGGCGUGGAUAAGACAUGCAAGUCGAACGAUCACUAUUGGGUAGCAAUAUUCGGUAGUGGGAGUGGCGCAAGGGUGCGUAACACGUGGGCAAUUUGCCGUGAAGCCUGGAAUAACUCGCUGAAAGGCGAGCUAAUGCCGGAUGUGAUUGUUGGAGGGCAUCCUCUGACAAUUAAAGUUGGGGACCGUAAGGCCUGACACUUCUCGAUAAGCCCGCGGCCUAUCAGCUAGUUGGUGAGGUAACGGCUCACCAAGGCUAAGACGGGUAGCUGGUCUGAGAGGACGACCAGCCACACUGGAACUGAGACACGGUCCAGACACCUACGGGUGGCAGCAGUCGAGAAUUUUUCUCAAUGGGGGAAACCCUGAAGGAGCGACGCCGCGUGGGGGAUGAAUGGCUUCGGCCCGUAAACCCCUGUCAUCUGGGAACAAUGCUUCCGACCUAAUACGUCGGGAGUUGAUAGUACCGGAAGAGGAAGGGACGGCUAACUCUGUGCCAGCAGCCGCGGUAACACAGAGGUCCCAAGCGUUGUUCGGAUUCACUGGGCGUAAAGGGUGCGUAGGCGGUCGGUUAAGUCUGAUGUGAAAUCUCCAAGCUCAACUUGGAAAUGGCAUCGGAAACUAUCCGGCUCGAGGAAUGGAGGGGAGACUGGAAUUCUCGGUGUAGCAGUGAAAUGCGUAGAUAUCGAGANNAACACCAGUG